RNAcentral lists this unclassified non-coding RNA (550 nucleotides) under Goura cristata (Western crowned-pigeon). RNAcentral's name for it is "partial 5' external transcribed spacer". The record is from RNAcentral. Lineage: Eukaryota; Metazoa; Chordata; Aves; Columbiformes; Columbidae.
AAGCAGUCCGUCGGCUGGGCUUUCCGUGCCGCACCCCCGCCCGCUGCCGAGCGAGCCGCCCCGGCGAGGGGCUACGGUCGCGAGGUCGCGCCCGCCUCGGCGGGUCGCCGUCUCCUCUAGCACGUCCGGUGCUCCCGCGGCUGAGCCGUGAUGAUGGGGGGGGGGAGAAGGCGCGUGCGUCUCCCCCCCGCGACCCCCGCUUCGUUCGUGUCGAAGGCCCUCGCGAGGUGGCGGCGGGUCCGCCCCCCCCACCCGGGGCCCGGUCCGACGUGCCGCGCGGAGCGGGCGCUCGAGCGCCGUCCCCGUCUCGCGGGAGUCGGGAAAAGGCGCGCGCGCGCGGCCCCGCCGCGCCCGAGCCGCCCGAAGGGGGRAAAAAAAAAAAAAAAAAAAAAGAGCUGCGUAGCGGUCCCGGCUCCCGGCCCCGCCGCGGCGGCGCGCGCGGGAAGGGAGCCGGCCGCCGGGGUCGGUCUCGCGCCGCGCCUCUCCGGAGGCGGCGCCGCCGGCCCCGCCCGGCGGGCCGGGCGUCCGCGCCCGUGCCGCGGGUGGCGGC